RNAcentral lists this ribosomal RNA (484 nucleotides) under uncultured bacterium. Its description in RNAcentral is "partial 16S ribosomal RNA". It matches the Rfam family "Bacterial small subunit ribosomal RNA", at positions 30 to 507 of the family's 1533-position model. The record is from RNAcentral.
AUUGAACGCUGGCGGAAUGCUUUACACAUGCAAGUCGAACGGCAGCACGGGGGCAACCCUGGUGGCGGGUGGCGAACGGGUGAGUAAUACAUCGGAACGUGCCCGGUCGUGGGGGAUAACGUAGCGAAAGUUACGCUAAUACCGCAUACGAUCUGAGGAUGAAAGCGGGGGACCUUCGGGCCUCGCGCGAUCGGAGCGGCCGAUGUCAGAUUAGGUAGUUGGUGGGGUAAAGGCCUACCAAGCCGACGAUCUGUAGCUGGUCUGAGAGGACGACCAGCCACACUGGGACUGAGACACGGCCCAGACUCCUACGGGAGGCAGCAGUGGGGAAUUUUGGACAAUGGGCGCAAGCCUGAUCCAGCCAUUCCGCGUGCAGGACGAAGGCCUUCGGGUUGUAAACUGCUUUUGUAUGGAACGAAAAGGCUCUGGCUAAUACCUGGGGCUCAUGACGGUACCGGAAGAAUAAGCACCGGCUAACUACGUG